AGCUCCAAGAGCGUAUAUUAAAGUUGUUGCAGUUAAAAAGCUCGUAGUUGAAUUUUGGAAUCCCUUUCUCGGUCCGCUUUUUGCGAGUACUGAACAAAGGGUUUCCCACCGCUCGGCCUCCUUCGGGUGGCUGCGCGGGAUUACUUUGAGUAAAUGAGAGUGUUCAAAGCAGGCGUACGCUUGAAUCUGUUAGCAUGGAAUAAUAAAAUAAGACGAUUGUCCUAUUUUGUUGGUUUCUAGGACCAUCGUAAUGAUUAAUAGGGACGGUCGGGGGCAUCAGUAUUCAGUUGUCAGAGGUGAAAUUCUUAGAUUUACUGAAGACUAACUACUGCGAAAGCAUUUGCCAAGGACGUUUUCA
RNAcentral lists this ribosomal RNA (358 nucleotides) under uncultured eukaryote. RNAcentral describes it as "SSU rRNA". It matches the Rfam family "Eukaryotic small subunit ribosomal RNA", at positions 587 to 972 of the family's 1831-position model. The record is from RNAcentral.